Molecule: transfer RNA, 73 nt
Filed under: Anaerolineaceae bacterium
Lineage: Bacteria; Bacillati; Chloroflexota; Anaerolineae; Anaerolineales; Anaerolineaceae
Also listed under: 1 other name
Description: tRNA-Glu
Rfam family: tRNA
About the family: Transfer RNA (tRNA) molecules are approximately 80 nucleotides in length.
Source: RNAcentral
GCCCCCAUCGUCUAGUGGCCUAGGACACCGCCCUUUCAAGGCGGCGACAGGGAUUCGAAUUCCCUUGGGGGCA